AUGCGUGAUCAGGUCGGCAUCGACCUGGAUGGCUUCCCCCUCGACCACGAGUUCCCGGACGACUAUGGGCUAGAGGAAGAGGACGAGUGCGACAUCAAAGUAGAGCCUUUGUUCGAGGACUGUCUUGCCAACCAAGCCACUGGUCCUAAGCCGAAGCGCAAGAGCAAGCGCACGAAGGCGUACACAGUUGCCGAGGACAAGCUUUUUGCGAGUGUUGGCGAGACAUUGGACAAGACCUAA
This 240-nucleotide ribosomal RNA is filed under the name Triticum aestivum (bread wheat). RNAcentral's name for it is "partial small subunit ribosomal RNA". Lineage: Eukaryota; Viridiplantae; Streptophyta; Magnoliopsida; Poales; Poaceae. The record is from RNAcentral.